AAUGGCCUAACGGCCGAACCAGCCAUUUGGUGGAAUGUAAUCGUUUUACGUGCAUAGCUAAAAACUGUGUAUCAACUAUGUUGAAUAAAGUUCUGAAUAGAUAACUGAUAAUGACAAACUUCUAUUCACAUCUCUUGACCAAUGCUUGUGCCAGCAGUCGCGGCAACACAAGUAAGAUUAGUGUUAUUCAUCUUUAUUAGGUUUAAAGCGUACCUAGACGGCAUUUCUAUUUCUUAAACAGGAAAGUUAUUUGCUAGAGUUUUAUGUGAGAGGCAAAUAUUAGGACUAUUAGUGGAGAGAUGAAAUCCUUUGAUACUAAUAGGAUGUGUAAAGGCGAAGGCAACCCUCUAUGUAUAAACUGACGUUGAGAGACGAAGGCUUGGGGAGCAAACAGGAUUAGAUACCCUAGUAGUCCAAGCAGAAAAUUAUGAAUGUUAUAUGUUAGCAAAGUUAUUAAAAGUUAGUGUAUAAAUGAAAGUGUAAGCAUUCCACCUUAAGAGUAAUGUGGCAACGCAGGAACUGAAAUCAUUAGACCGUUUCUGAAACCAGUAGUGAAGUAUGUUAUUUAAUUCGAUGAUCCUCGAAAAACCUUACCACAAUUUGAAUAACGUUUUUAUUGAACAGCUUCAAUAAAAGCAUUACAGGCGUUGCACGGCUGUCUAAAGCUAAUGUCGUGAGAUCUUGGUUAGUUCCAUUAAAUUAGCGUAACCCCCUUACUUUAUUUAUGGUUUUUUUUAUUAAAAAAGGAUAAUAAGGUGUCAAACUGCUACGGCGGUUUCGGUAAUAGGGAAGAAGACAAGUCAUCAUGACCUUAAUAUUGUGGGCUAUAGACGUGCCGCAUAUUUUUGUACAAAGAGAGUCAAAAAUGCGAAUUUUAGGUAAUCUCUAAAGCAGAAUAAAAAAU
This 904-nucleotide ribosomal RNA is filed under the name Melaspilea bagliettoana. RNAcentral's name for it is "SSU rRNA". It matches the Rfam family "Bacterial small subunit ribosomal RNA", at positions 370 to 1294 of the family's 1533-position model. The record is from RNAcentral. Lineage: Eukaryota; Fungi; Ascomycota; Dothideomycetes; Eremithallales; Melaspileaceae.